GACUCGGUUGGGCGGUCCGCUUAACGGCGUGUACUGUCUGACUGGGCCUUACCUCUUGGUGAGCCAGUGUGCCCUUUAUUGGUGUGCAUUGGGGAACCAGGACUUUUACCUUGAGAAAAUUAGAGUGUUCAAAGCAGGCGUUCGCUUGAAUACAUUAGCAUGGAAUAAUGGAAUAGGGCU
Molecule: ribosomal RNA, 180 nt
Filed under: uncultured Glomeromycotina
Lineage: Eukaryota; Fungi; Glomeromycota
Description: partial small subunit ribosomal RNA
Source: RNAcentral